Molecule: ribosomal RNA, 437 nt
Filed under: uncultured bacterium
Lineage: Bacteria
Description: bacterial SSU rRNA
Rfam family: Bacterial small subunit ribosomal RNA
Source: RNAcentral
UAGGGAAUUUUCGUCAAUGGGGGAACCCUGAACGAGCAAUGCCGCGUGUGUGAAGAAGGUCUUCGGAUCGUAAAGCACUGUUGUAAGUGAAGAAUGCCACAUAGAGGAAAUGCUAUGUGGGUGACGGUAGCUUACCAGAAAGCCACGGCUAACUACGUGCCAGCAGCCGCGGUAAUACGUAGGUGGCAAGCGUUAUCCGGAAUCAUUGGGCGUAAAGGGUGCGUAGGUGGCACGAUAAGUCUGAAGUAAAAGGCAACAGCUCAACUGUUGUAUGCUUUGGAAACUGUCGAGCUAGAGUGCAGAAGAGGGCGAUGGAAUUCCAUGUGUAGCGGUAAAAUGCGUAGAUAUAUGGAGGAACACCAGUGGCGAAGGCGGUCGCCUGGUCUGUAACUGACACUGAUGCACGAAAGCGUGGGGAGCAAAUAGGAUUAGAUACC